Long non-coding RNA from Dreissena polymorpha, 535 nucleotides. RefSeq lists it as uncharacterized. The transcript has 2 exons. Lineage: Eukaryota; Metazoa; Mollusca; Bivalvia; Myida; Dreissenidae. The record is from RefSeq and is a predicted model, not a curated record.
GUUGCUAAGUGAGCGGGCAUUUCAGGACAUAAGCAAGUGAUUUAGAAAUAAUUUGUAUGGGCAAACGGAAUAACACUGCAUAAACAACUAAUUUACAAUCAGGAUAAUGUUUAUUGCAUAAACAUCAGUUGCUCUGAAAUACUGCAAGGAGAAAAAUAAGUUUCAAGUUCGAAAGAUGAUGCAGGUUAAAGGGCGAAAAUAAGUGCAUCUUUCGUUGCAGUAUAUGUUAUGAGGAAUUUUACAUCAGGGGAGGAUUGAGAUAUCAUGCCCCAUUCAUGGACCACAUGAGUUUAAAUGUAGAAUAUGCAAGAAAGAACCCUUCAACAAAGCCGGACUAAAACAGCAAAUAAAAAAUACGAACAUAACAAAACAUGUACAGCUGAUGUUUGUCGUGUUUUUGUUUUAUUUAUAAAGUCUACAUAGACACGUCUGACAUAUAAUUGCUAUGAGUGCUACUUACUUACACGUUUUAUUCCAUAUAUGUCAUGAUGCUAGUUUCUCACUUUGUUAUGAAAAUAAACCAUUAUCUGUGUUA